Molecule: long non-coding RNA, 1176 nt
Organism: Nelumbo nucifera (sacred lotus)
Lineage: Eukaryota; Viridiplantae; Streptophyta; Magnoliopsida; Proteales; Nelumbonaceae
Source: RefSeq, a predicted model, not a curated record
UAGACGAUGACUAUUACAGUUUUUUUAGAUAAAUAACUAAAAGAGUCCCGUGUUAAGCGUCGUUUCAAAACAAUUAUCAAUCCUUAUCAGUCGUCAUUAACCCAAUUAUAAAAACAGAAUCAAACUAUAAAAAACUUACAGAAAGCCGAACCAACAAACUUACAUUUGAUUUAUUAAUUUAAUAUUAAUCCCAACGGAACUGUUUUACUUUAAUUAUAGCGAUGGGGCUGGUAAUUUACAUAUUAUUUUAAUUUUUAAGGUGGUAUUUGAUUGCACUUUUUAAAAGUCUAAAUUUGAAAAUAUUGCUUUUCAGAUCCUCACAGUUGUUUGGUUUAUCUUCUUAAACUUGAUCUGAAUUUAGUUUUUAGAUCUGAAAACCGUAGACCUUGGGCCAGUUCUUAACAUGUUCAGACGCGUUUCAGAGUUGUCGAAGCUGCCCUUACAAAAUUUUAAAAAUGAUGUGCACUACCCUGAUAACCCCAAACCCUGAAAACAUAGUCAUUUUCGUAUUUUCUGAGAGGAAGCGCCACUGGUGAAAUCGAAGCUCCAGGAAGAACACUGCCGGUGAAUCCAAGUUCCAAGAAGAAUGACGCUCAUGAAUCUGUCCUCUAGGCCAAGGUGGUAGCGCAGCUCAUCCUCUGGAGCUGCAUAGAGUAUCUUCUGCCCUAAAUGUGUUUGACAAUAGGCGGAAGAGAAGAGUACAAAAGAUGUGUUGCAGCUCAUCCUCUGAACCCCCAGUUCCUCCACUGAUAGAUGUGUUACAGCCUCCAACAAGUCAUGGAUUUCCAGUGUUUCAAGUUCAAUAAGUUUUGGCAGCACUGUCAAGCUAUUGCUUAUCUGAUGGCCAGAGGACUUACCUUGGUUAAUCAUUUACGCCUUGGGUAGAGUGGAAUAAAAUGGCAGUAAUUGGUAUUUGGUAGAGUGGAAGGACUGAUGUCCAUGUCCAUCAAAUAGUUCCAAGGCCUCUCGUAUUCUCUUGUUUGUGAUCAUUGGAGACAAAUAGUUGGGCUCCCUCUGUUUUGAGAACUUGUAUACGAUCUAUAUUGCUCAUUUUGAUCAUCUAUUUAUCGUAUAGCAUAUAUUGCUCAUUGGCUGAAGUUUUCCUAACGCAAUUUGUUUUUAGAUUUGAAAUCUUAGUAAUAUAACUGGGGAUAGUAAUGGUUGUCCUUUUAAGUC